GAUGAACGCUGGCGGCGUGCCUAAUACAUGCAAGUCGAGCGAACGGACGAGAAGCUUGCUUCUCUGAUGUUAGCGGCGGACGGGUGAGUAACACGUGGAUAACCUACCUAUAAGACUGGGAUAACUUCGGGAAACCGGAGCUAAUACCGGAUAAUAUUUUGAACCGCAUGGUUCAAAAGUGAAAGACGGUCUUGCUGUCACUUAUAGAUGGAUCCGCGCUGCAUUAGCUAGUUGGUAAGGUAACGGCUUACCAAGGCAACGAUGCAUAGCCGACCUGAGAGGGUGAUCGGCCACACUGGAACUGAGACACGGUCCAGACUCCUACGGGAGGCAGCAGUAGGGAAUCUUCCGCAAUGGGCGAAAGCCUGACGGAGCAACGCCGCGUGAGUGAUGAAGGUCUUCGGAUCGUAAAACUCUGUUAUUAGGGAAGAACAUAUGUGUAAGUAACUGUGCACAUCUUGACGGUACCUAAUCAGAAAGCCACGGCUAACUACGUGCCAGCAGCCGCGGUAAUACGUAGGUGGCAAGCGUUAUCCGGAAUUAUUGGGCGUAAAGCGCGCGUAGGCGGUUUUUUAAGUCUGAUGUGAAAGCCCACGGCUCAACCGUGGAGGGUCAUUGGAAACUGGAAAACUUGAGUGCAGAAGAGGAAAGUGGAACUCCAUGUGUAGCGGUGAAAUGCGCAGAGAUAUGGAGGAACACCAGUGGCGAAGGCGACUUUCUGGUCUGUAACUGACGCUGAUGUGCGAAAGCGUGGGGAUCAAACAGGAUUAGAUACCCUGGUAGUCCACGCCGUAAACGAUGAGUGCUAAGUGUUAGGGGGUUUCCGCCCCUUAGUGCUGCAGCUAACGCAUUAAGCACUCCGCCUGGGGAGUACGACCGCAAGGUUGAAACUCAAAGGAAUUGACGGGGACCCGCACAAGCGGUGGAGCAUGUGGUUUAAUUCGAAGCAACGCGAAGAACCUUACCAAAUCUUGACAUCCUUUGACAACUCUAGAGAUAGAGCCUUCCCCUUCGGGGGGCAAAGUGACAGGUGGUGCAUGGUUGUCGUCAGCUCGUGUCGUGAGAUGUUGGGUUAAGUCCCGCAACGAGCGCAACCCUUAAGCUUAGUUGCCAUCAUUAAGUUGGGCACUCUAAGUUGACUGCCGGUGACAAACCGGAGGAAGGUGGGGAUGACGUCAAAUCAUCAUGCCCCUUAUGAUUUGGGCUACACACGUGCUACAAUGGACAAUACAAAGGGCAGCGAAACCGCGAGGUCAAGCAAAUCCCAUAAAGUUGUUCUCAGUUCGGAUUGUAGUCUGCAACUCGACUACAUGAAGCUGGAAUCGCUAGUAAUCGUAGAUCAGCAUGCUACGGUGAAUACGUUCCCGGGUCU
This 1372-nucleotide ribosomal RNA is filed under the name uncultured bacterium. RNAcentral's name for it is "bacterial SSU rRNA". It matches the Rfam family "Bacterial small subunit ribosomal RNA", at positions 28 to 1381 of the family's 1533-position model. The record is from RNAcentral.